UAUUUAAUGGUACGCGCCGGGGCCAAGGCCGCACCGUGCUGGGCGGGGGUCUGGAGAGCGCAGCAGCCAUGGCCAGCCAUCUCGUGCUCAACAAUGGCGCCAAGAUGCCCAUCCUGGGGCUGGGUACCUGGAAGUCCCCUCCAGGGCAGGUUACUGAGGCCGUGAAGGUGGCCAUUGACGUCGGGUACCGCCACAUCGACUGUGCCCAUGUGUACCAGAAUGAGAAUGAGGUGGGGGUGGCCAUUCAGGAGAAGCUCAGGGAGCAGGUGGUGAAGCGUGAGGAGCUCUUCAUCGUCAGCAAGCUGUGGUGCACGUACCAUGAGAAGGGCCUGGUGAAAGGAGCCUGCCAGAAGACACUCAGCGACCUGAAGCUGGACUACCUGGACCUCUACCUUAUUCACUGGCCGACUGGCUUUAAGCCUGGGAAGGAAUUUUUCCCACUGGAUGAGUCAGGCAGUGUGGUUCCCAGUGACACCAACAUUCUGGACACGUGGGCGGUAAGACAGCCCCUGGUUUGACCUUGUUUUCAUGACUGGUUCCCUCUUCUUUUUAGGAGCAAUCUGCCUGCCAUUUCUCACAUUGCAUUGUGUUAUUCUGUCCCUGUUGUUUGCUCUUCUUUCCUUUUUUUUUUUUUUUUUUUUUUGAGAUGGGG
This 652-nucleotide small RNA is filed under the name Pongo abelii (Sumatran orangutan). RNAcentral describes it as "retained intron". The record is from RNAcentral. Lineage: Eukaryota; Metazoa; Chordata; Mammalia; Primates; Hominidae.